Molecule: ribosomal RNA, 375 nt
Filed under: Craugastor podiciferus (Cerro Utyum robber frog)
Lineage: Eukaryota; Metazoa; Chordata; Amphibia; Anura; Craugastoridae
Description: partial 16S ribosomal RNA
Rfam family: Bacterial large subunit ribosomal RNA
Source: RNAcentral
UGUCUCUUAAAUCGGGACCUGUAUGAAUGGCAUCACGAGGAUUUAACUGUCUCCCAUCACCAAUCAGUGAAACUAAUCUCCCUGUGAAAAAGCAGGGUUACUUAUACAAGACGAGAAGACCCUAUGGAGCUUUAAACUAAUAACACUUGCUCUACUUUCCCAUAACAUCCAGCAUAAUGCUUAUACGUUUUCGGUUGGGGUGACCCUGGAGAAAAACCUAACCUCCAUGCUGUUAAAUAUAAGAACCUCAAUUCUACAAUCAACAUACUGACACAAUUGACCCAAACAUUUGAUCAACGGACCAAGUUACCCUAGGGAUAACAGCGCCAUCCACUUCAAGAGKACAUAUCAACAAGUGGGCUUACGACCUCGAUG